Molecule: ribosomal RNA, 885 nt
Filed under: methanogenic prokaryote enrichment culture B31_1_20
Description: bacterial SSU rRNA
Rfam family: Bacterial small subunit ribosomal RNA
Source: RNAcentral
AGAGUUUGAUCCUGGCUCAGGAUGAACGUUGGCGGUGUGCCUAAUACAUGCAAGUCGAACGGAGUUAAUAGCAAUAUUGACUUAGUGGCGAACGGGUGAGUAACGCGUUGGUGAUCUGCCUCGAAGUGUGGAAUAACGUUCCGAAAGGAACGCUAAUACCGCAUGUGCUCUCGAUUUUUAGAAACUUGAGAGUAAAGGAUUUAUUCGCUUCGAGAGGAGCCUGCGUCCAUCAGCUGGUUGGUAGGGUAACGGCCUACCAAGGCUAUGACGGGUAGGGGACCUGAGAGGGUGGCCCCCCACAAUGGAACUGAAACACGGUCCAUACACCUACGGGUGGCAGCAGUAGGGAAUAUUAGAAAUGGACGAAAGUCUGAUCUAGCAACACCGCGUGUGCGAAGAAGGCCUUCGGGUCGUAAAGCACUUUUUGGAAGGAAUAGGAAGGAAUGUACUUCCAGAAUAAGUCUCGGCUAACUACGUGCCAGCAGCCGCGGUAACACGUAGGAGGCAAACGUUAUCCGGAUUUACUGGGCGUAAAGCGCGUGUAGGUGGUACUGUAAGUAGGGCGUGAAAGCUCCCGGCUCAACUGGGAGAGGCCGUUCUAAACUGCAGAACUAGAGGAUGGUAGAGGGAGGUGGAAUUCCAGGUGUAGCGGUGGAAUGCGCAGAUAUCUGGAGGAACACCAGUGGCGAAGGCGGCCUCCUGGACCAUUCCUGACACUCAGACGCGAAAGCUAGGGUAGCAAACGGGAUUAGAGACCCCGGUAGUCCUAGCCCUAAACGAUGUAGACUAGCGUCGGUGGUUUAAUCACCAUCGGUGUCCAAGCUAACGCGAUAAGUCUACCGCCUGGGGACUAGGCCGCAAGUUAAAACUCAAAGGAAUUGACGG